Non-coding RNA from Lupinus albus (white lupine), 754 nucleotides. The record is from the annotation of a GenBank genome assembly. NCBI's taxonomy places the organism in Eukaryota, Viridiplantae, Streptophyta, Magnoliopsida, Fabales, Fabaceae.
GGACAGAAUGUAUAAACAACAACAAGAAUGGUUAGCUCGAGUGGGCUUCAACUUUACCUAUUUGAAAUGGGUUUCGGGUAAAAUUGGAAGGGGAAACAUUUAGGUUUUCAUUUGGUUCAUUUUGGAAAUUAGAUGAUGUUUAGGGGAGAGAAGUGAGAAGAAGAGAGAAAAGAGAAGACGAAGGAGAGGAGAAGAAAGGGUUUGCGGGUUCUUCCUCCGACGACAGCAGCAGCGCCUUCGUUCCGGUGACAAGCCAACGAGGAUCUUCUCGUCCGCUCCAACUCCUUCCUUCGGUUUUGUUCUUCUAUUCCAAGUUCGGGAAAUAUGGAAACUUCUUGAAAGGAUAUGGUGAAAACUUGAGCGAGGUGUAGCUGGGUGCCAACGUACUGAUCGAGGAGGCUGUGAGCAGCAAGCACAUUGUUGAUAUAUUCUGCUCCAAGGAAAAAGUCUUUGACUUUUGAACAUUGGUCUCUCCAGCAAGUUCCAUGAGUUUUGCAAGUCCUGCCUAGUUAUGGUCAUCAAAUCUGUCCAUCUUUCCCGGUUGCAUGCAAUCCAAAAAUUUAUAACUUUCUCUCAUGUCUGGCAUUCUGUUUGUUUUUUUAAAUAUGUAUAGGUGCAGCACAUGCUUGAUUUGUAAAUUCAGUUCUUAUCUGCGUCAAGGUCCUUUUAAUCCUAAUCAAAAUAUUCACACAUAGGUACUAAUAAACUUCAGAUUGUGGAAAUAAAUAAAUAAAUAAAAACGUAAUUCAAUUCU